UGUAUUUCAAAGGCACAUUUUCAUGGUAUGUCUGCACUUUACUCACAUGCACCAUGAGAUUACUGAUUGUAUGUUAUGCAAACAGCACCUCAGGUAGUUCAAGGAGAAGCGGAAAUGUAGUGCAUCAAAUUUCAGUGAGAUCACACACCCAUUCUGAAGUAUCUGCCCCUAGGGUCAAUCAGCUAUAUUUAAGUAGGGACCUGUGGGAUCAAAUCAGACAACAGAAGAGCAGUUAAUCUAAACAACUGUUCACUGCAUCACCUGAUAACAAAUCUAGAAGACAUUUCUUUCUUCUUUUCUGAGAAUCUAGACAGACAUCGCAUUUAAAGGAAUCGCAAUGGGAGACAACAUGAAUAUCCCAAUGGCAGACGUUCUAAAGAUGAAACACAAGAAUUAUUUAAGGAGUGUCCAUCAAAUUCUGAAAGGAACUCCUGUUUUUUCGACUUUUCCAUUGAGUAUUUUGUUUGUUGGAUUGGAGAAGCUGAUUGAAAUAGAAAUGUUUUCAUGCCCAUGCACAAACGAGCUAAAUAUGUUGCUAACAGUGUCCAUCUUCAUUGGGCCUGCUCUUUUUACAUAUGUUUUAAUGUUCCUCCUUUUAAGACCUUUUAAACUUACUGCAAAGACAAAUGAGAAGACUCGUUAUAACGGUCCUAAAAAAUUUUUAGCGUGUCUAAUUCCACCAGUAAUUGGGAUCGUCAUCUUGUUACUUGAUGGUGAUUAUUUUGCUUGUGCAAUGACAAACUGGAAGGGAGAAUAUGUGCCUGAUAUGGCGUUCAACAGGUCUUGGUGUAAACCUACUGAAGGGACACAAAAUGUGACAGAGCUGAAAGAUCUAACUUGGAAAUAUAUUCAUCAAUCUCAGUGUGCCGGAUACAUCUUGAUCUCUGUCUUCAGUGUCUUGAUGAUUGUCUUUUUGGGUAUUAAUGACUGCUGCAUUACUGGGAAAUGUGAUUGCUGCCCAAGUCGACUGUUAUGCUGCCAACAAAGAGGAGAGAGUAAUGAUGAGGAAAAAAACGAGAGUGCAGAAAGUUCAGAAAGUUCAGAACCUUUAAAAGGGUUUAGUACAGCCUAUGUAGUUCUUCAAAAGAAAAUGUAAAAUUAAGAAAACAUAAAAGGAAUGAACUUGUGAGGGUUAUCUAAU
Molecule: long non-coding RNA, 1141 nt
Organism: Carassius auratus (goldfish)
Lineage: Eukaryota; Metazoa; Chordata; Actinopteri; Cypriniformes; Cyprinidae
Exons: 3
Source: RefSeq, a predicted model, not a curated record